Molecule: ribosomal RNA, 449 nt
Filed under: uncultured bacterium
Lineage: Bacteria
Description: partial 16S ribosomal RNA
Rfam family: Bacterial small subunit ribosomal RNA
Source: RNAcentral
AACGAACGCUGGCGGCAUGCCUAACACAUGCAAGUCGAACGAAGCCUUCGGGCUUAGUGGCGCACGGGUGCGUAACACGUGGGAAUCUGCCCUUUGGUUCGGAAUAACAGUUGGAAACGACUGCUAAUACCGGAUGAUGACGGAAGUCCAAAGAUUUAUCGCCAGAGGAUGAGCCCGCGUAGGAUUAGCUAGUUGGUGUGGUAAAGGCGCACCAAGGCGACGAUCCUUAGCUGGUCUGAGAGGAUGAUCAGCCACACUGGGACUGAGACACGGCCCAGACUCCUACGGGAGGCAGCAGUGGGGAAUAUUGGACAAUGGGCGAAAGCCUGAUCCAGCAAUGCCGCGUGAGUGAUGAAGGCCCUAGGGUUGUAAAGCUCUUUUACCCGGGAUGAUAAUGACAGUACCGGGAGAAUAAGCCCCGGCUAACUCCGUGCCAGCCGCCGCAGUAA